RNAcentral lists this long non-coding RNA (1095 nucleotides) under Piliocolobus tephrosceles (Ugandan red Colobus). RNAcentral describes it as "lncRNA (ENSPTEG00000006464.1)". Lineage: Eukaryota; Metazoa; Chordata; Mammalia; Primates; Cercopithecidae. The record is from RNAcentral.
ACGAUAUUAGUGAAUGAGGAUAAGCAGACACGAGGAGUACCAGACCAUACACAAGACCAUACAAAGGACCGGACAAAAAGAAGAAGCAUCAGCUGGACAUCUACUAUAUUGGAUGACUCACAACUAGAUGAUUUAGGUUGUAAAAAUAAACGUAAGACUAUUCACAAAUAUAGCAAACUGGAUAAUCAUAAUAAAACAAAAGAUAAUGUUUCAUUAGAUAACAAAUCAGAAUAUGGUAUUAUGAUACAAAAGGAAAAUGUAGUGCCUACUUAUAUAGAUACUAUUGAUAUUAGUACCAUUGCCAGUGCAAACAAUAGUAAUAAAAAAAACAGACGAAAAACACUUAAUAUAAUAAACCAUAAUUUAAACAACUACCAUAUUACAAAUGUAAAAAAAAAUGAAUUGUCAGUAAAUGAUACAAUUAACAAAAAUAUAAAACAUAUUAUCUUACCAAAUAAAAAAAAAAUCGACUCAACAAUGUAUGAGUUUUUAAGCCCAACAAAAAUUAGUCUUUUCGAAUGGUCUAACAAUAAAAAUGAAAAUAAAAAUGUGCAAAAUAAUGUGCAAAUUAAAGUGCAAAAAAAAAGUAAAAGAAGUACUGUAAGUUGUGCGAUAAACGUCGAUGAUGUAACAAAAAGUGACAAACUCGAAGCUGGAGUAACUACAGGUGCACGCGCGAGUUUGUAUACAAGUGCAUACACAGGCUCUCGUCGAACCAGCACAUGCACCGACAUGCACAAAACACAAGAAAAGAACAACUAUUUAAAAUAUUUGGACUUAAAAAAACAAUGCUACCAAGGUGAGUUACGAUUUUCUUUUUUAAAAUUAAGAAUGUAUUUAUUUAAUAUAAUGAUUGAUAUAUUCGAAUGGAACCAGGUGAAUUUUAAACAUAUGUUUGAAAUUUUUAAUAAUGUUACUAACUCAUUUAUUACUCAGAUACUUAAGUGUGAACUGAUAGAAGAUGAUAAUAAUAAAGAAAAAUGUAUAUAUAUAAAAAAUGUAGAACAAAAAAACAUAAGAAAAAAUCCUAUAAUUGUAUAUAUUCAUGGUAACUUAAAUAGACUACCUUUUGAAAACUUUGAUGCAUUAAAAAGC